Long non-coding RNA from Mus musculus (house mouse), 5640 nucleotides. RefSeq annotates it as predicted gene, 57823. NCBI's taxonomy places the organism in Eukaryota, Metazoa, Chordata, Mammalia, Rodentia, Muridae. The record is from RefSeq and is a predicted model, not a curated record. The transcript is spliced from 2 exons.
GGCGGCUGCUGGCCCACCAGCCUAGGGUUACCUGGUGUGAGAUGUUCUCAGCACUGUGGGCCUUUGAGAGGGUCAUUAGGACAGGCAACUCUUUCAGGGGCUCACUGUGUCUUGGGGGUUCAACAUGUCUGUAGGGUAUCUGUGAGUCCAAACCAAGAUAGGAAAGAAAGCCCCGAAUCAAGACAACAAAGAAGAAAUUUCUAAACAAAACCCACAUAGGAGGUAGGGAGCCUGUCUGCGGUGUGAAAGUUUCGAAGGACAGGACAGAGCUGUCAGGUCACCAUAACGGGAACAAGCUGUAGGCUUGCGAUGUGGCCUUCUGUGAUACCAUGCAUGUGGAAAAGCCACCAAGUGGAUAGGCCAGGAAGGACCAGGCUCGCCAGGGCAUUGCCUGCCCAGGUUCCCUGCCUGCUUUGACAGCAAGCUCCUACAGAUGUCAAGCACUCCAGCUGUCAGCUUGAUUUAACUCAAAUAGCAAGUGUCCUUAAGUCCAGUCCACAGACAUCUGUCCCUCUGAGUGUGUCAUAGAUAACAUGGUUGGGAUCUGCCCCCACUUCUCAGGAUGGAAACCACCACAUUAACUGACUGUGGAUGAAGCUGGGGAGGGCAGAGACGAGGGGACCCUUCAGUCAAGCACAGUUGGGACUGCUCCUAAUACAAGAUGAAUGUCACCACACAGAUCCUGUCUCUCAGUGACUGUGUCACACAGAGGCACAACCCGAGGUGAAAGGUUAAAAAACUAAGACGUAGAACCAUUCUCCGUGCUCCACGGAGCACCUAACAGGAAGAAGGAUGCUGAGGGAUCAGGGGACCACACAAAUCUUCUGCAAGGUAUUAAAAGGGAGUCACAGCAAUCAAGGCGGGCAGCAGGAAGGGUGCCCAUAACCAUAGGCUUUGGAAUUCCUGGGUCAGACACUUGCACGGGAACUCAGCUUGAGGUAGGUGACCUGGGGGGGGCAAGCAGCGGGUGCUUGAGGAGGUUAUGGUCCCAUGCCUUGCCAUAGCGUCGUGAAGAAUGGGGAGCAUUCUCACUGGCUUCUAAGAUGGCCAGCCUGGGGCCAGGGCUGAGAAGGCAACAGAGGAAAGCAAGGUUAGUCUAGCCUGGGGCCGUGGCAGAUGUGUGACUGCAGACAUGGGCAGUACUGGGAGCCCUGGGGGGCAUUGCGAUGUCUCUUAAGUGACUGACUGGAAGCCCCAUGCAGGGUGUGUGUUAUGGCAGACCACUGCUCAGUUUUCUCUGUGUACUUCCCCGGAGUAGUUUCUGAGGAUGCCCUGUGCCUCCAGCAUUCAUCUUUCCUGGGACCUGCUGGGACCUGCUGGGACCUGCUGGGACCUGCUGGGUCCUGCUGGGUCCUGCAUCCACUUGGCUUUCCUGAACCGGGAAACAUCUUGGGCAACAGCACCGGCCCAGCAAGCACCUGGCCCCAGGCCCCACUGCUCCAAGACUUAGCAUGCUGCUAGUGCAACCCGUGGCCACUGCACUUCUGGGGACCCACUGUCCAGGAAAGAUCUGGAAGCUGGCAUCAGCGUAGACCCUCUGAAGCCAGGCCUGGAGAGCAUCCGGUUAAGACGGGGAGUGCUUUGUUGGCAUUGCGCUCUCUCUCUCUCUCUCUCUCUCAUCAUCAUCAUCAUCAUCAUCAAAGCUAUUUCAAGUGCACAUCCAAGGAUGGAGAAAUCCAGAGGAUUCUGAAGUUAACUGUUACACUGCCAAAGAAGAGGGCACAAAGUUGCCAGAGGCAGCCAAGGGAUCUUUGUCCUUCAGGCCCUGGAACAACAUGAAGGAGCUGGUACCCCCAACAUUGCAGCAGUGUCAUGGUAACUUUCCCUUCACACGUGGCUGCAGGUCAAACGCUAAGGAACCCAACACUGAAAUGUGUGUGGCAACGCAUCCCCCUUCCACCAGGGACACAAAGAUGGAUGCCGGUGGUCCCAGGCUAUCUCCAGAGCAGAUACCAUCCCUGCCUUGCCAUGUCUGAGGGCAAAUACAACACAGUGAAGUUAGGGGGCAGCCUGAAGUCUCCAUCUAUUCAUACCUGUCCAGAAAGUGAAAAAAGCCACAAGUAUGCUGCCCGGCUUGCCAUGAAGAAAGGGGGUCUCUCUUACCAGUCAUCGGCAUCAGUGACUGUGAUGCCUACAUGUUCUGUCCCACCGAUGCCCGGCAAAGAACUAAAACAGGAGGGAGGCCGCACAUCAGCCCUGAUUUUGCUAAGGGAAAAAAAAAGAGCGAUAACACCUUCCCCUGAGAUUAUCCCAAGCAGCUUGACCACAAAUGACAUCAGAGCCUCUUCUGUGGACGUACACCAGACCAGAACUGGGGCAGCCAGUGCUGAGAGAGAUGCGUGCUGACAGGUCCUGAAGCAGCCACAACAUCUGGGCGGCCAGGGGAUGGGGAGUCAGAAGUGAGGAAAGAUGGCCUCCACUGUGGACAUGCUCCCUCACCGUCCUGAGACCAUUGUCAAGCGUGUCGGCACUCAUUUCAGCCAUGACCUCUCCCUGAAGUGGUUCACAGAUAGAUUGGCUGUUGACCUUGCCACUGGCUCCCAAGUGGGGAAACAGAUGUGACAAUCAGACCAUGAAAGAAGGGAGCUAUCCGUGGCCUUCUUCCCCUGGAGACAGUGUUAAUGAGGAGAGCUGUUCACAAGAUUUCCAAGGCACAGAGAGUGUGAACAAACACAAAAGAAGCAGCAGAGGCCAGUCCUAUCAGAGAGAGGCUCUGUGGGUGUCAGACUCGGGGAGUGCAGAUGAGAGGAGACGUCACCUGCGCAUAGGAGAAAACAUAGUAUCAAAUCUGAACUCACUCUGUGGGCUGUUCUGAAAAAGUGUAUCUCAAGGUGGGAGCUGCCACCUGCACAUACAGAGCAGCCCCUGAGUUCAAUUAAGACAGUUAAGUACUCACUCCAGUUUGCGCUAGUAAGAAUGCUGGCUGUAGUGUCCUGACGCCACCGUGUGGCUGAGAUGUGUGCAACAGUCUGUGAUGCCAGGUUGUACUGUGAAGGAACAGAGGGUAACCACCAUUUGCCCAGCGAAUGUAGGAACCAGGGCUCAAAAUUAAAUCUAAAAGAAAGAAAGGCACGCGCAUCAAAAGAUAACUUGGUUUGAUUUUUGCCUCCCAGAAGCAGAGCAAAGUGUUCCUACCUGCUGGUGUUGAGGCCUGGUGUUUUCUUCCAUGGAAAUUGGCAGCGUCCUACAUUUUAAUUGCAUGGAAAUGAAACGUUUUCAGUGAUGAUGGCAUGAUGGGAAAUCCCGUCUUUAACCUUACCUGUGACUGCAUUUUCAAAUCCUACUUAAUUAGGAUUUCCCGAGCCGGGUGGGCUCCAUCUAUCUGCUCAGUUCUUUCCCUCAGAUAUAAACAAUUUCUUUCUGGCCCACAGCUUCAGAACCUAACAUCUGCAAACCUUGAAAUGAAUGGGUGAAACCCAUGAUUUUAAACUCGAUUCUUCCCCCACAUCUUACGGCCUGCCGUAUAACAGACCAGCAGCCUCCUGUGGCUGUCACUAAUCACGUGAUCCUCCCACGCUCUCCACACCCAGUCUACCUGGUUCGCGCUGCCUUAUCUCCAGCACUGGGCCUGGCCUCCUCGGGGCCUCAGCGGGAAGGCUUUAGCCUCUCAGUUUCGCCCUACAAAUGAAGCCGAGGAGGGCAGUAGAGCUGGGUGAAGGGUUUGGCGUCAGUGAGGGGGACAUAGCACCUCCUGCUUAAACGUGAGUCAGCAGUUGUUUUUCAUUGUUUACACAAAUCUGCUUGGAGACAGGAGAAAGAAGAAAGUAUAACUCUAAAAACCUGGGUAAAGCUGGUCUGGAUCCCAGGCAAAGGGAACCCUUCUCGGGCCAGAAAUAAAGAAGUAGAAUCUAUUUUGCUUAACCAUGAAACACCAGGCCCCACUUCCUUGUGAAACGGCUAUUGUUAAAGCUCAUGAUGUGUCCCAGGCCGCUCUUAGGAAGCAGCUUGUCUUCCGCAGAACAAGCAGACGCCCAGUCUGAUGACCACUGGCCUCUGAUAGAACUUCCAAGCUUAGCCAUCCCCAACCUUCCACCCUACAAGAGGUUGGAAAACAUAUGAAAAUCCCUUUCCGGGCCUCUGCAGAGAGCAUGUUUGAGCGCCCCCUGCUGGUGAGGUUGGAAAAAUCCCUUUCCGGGCCUCUGCAGAGAGCAUCUGAGCGCCUCCUGCUGGUGGUGGGCACUGUUUCCCAUGAAGGAAACUGGAAUUUUUCAAAAAUAGUGCAAACAGGCUAAUGGAGAAAGAAUGGGUCUUAGAAAUCGAUGAUGUGGUUGGCCAGGGUUGCCUUCCAUAGUUAUAGAAUGAUUCAUCAUAAUUUUACUUUAUGUCGCCGCAAAAUUUGCCAUCUUUGCUUAUUAAUACAAAGCUGUAUUGACACAAAAUGAGGUUCCUGACAUAACACUAGGAAAAGAGAAAAAAUAGACAAAGAGAAGGCUGUGUAGUAGGAGCUCCUUUAAAGCCCUUUGCAGCCUGUCAUGUAUGAAACACCGUCCUGUAAGUAUACACCAUUUUCAAAACAAUUGAACUUUUUAUUUCUGAAAACAUGAUUAUAUUUGCAGACCAUCACUUGCACCAAAUGUUCGGCUCUAAACACAACCAUGGGGUUCACUGGCCAGGCCUUGGCAUCAGGUGGGCCAGAUGGCAAGACCACCAGCCCACUCAGAUUCCAGGAGUCAUUGGCAGGCCAGCAACCACGGCCUUGGCUCUGUGGCCCUUCUUGCUGGUGGAGAACUGAUGUGGUUACAAUGGCUGUUAGUAAUCUACAAGAGCGAUGGUCUACUGUAGAUAAGCUCAGCAUAGACAGACUGCGCUCUUGAGGGACAGCACUAAAACCCCCGCUGUGGGCUCUUUGCUUAACCAAGAGCACAGCAAGGUUUUAUCUGCCAGAGAAUACAUACCUGCAUAUAACUGAUAAAAAGCUACAAGAUGAAAGCCCUUCCUUCCAAAGUUACCAGCUCACAAGACUGUAGGCAACCUUGCCCAUCACCAGUGUCCUCUGGUAGACACUCAGAAAAUCUGGAAUAUCCAUGCCUACACGGAAUGUGGAGUAAGCCAUUGUAACUAACUGAGCAAAAGUGACCUAUAAGAAAAGUUCCUGGGUGGAAGCAAGGCUCGGGCUGCCUUCCCACAAAGGUUCUGGUGGGGAAAUUCACAAAACAGUGUAAUGAUUCCAAUGACUGCAUGCUGUGCAGUCAUAAACCAUGUCAAAUGGGCUUGCUUUGUUUCAUAAACUAAUUAUAACAAAGUAGACUCGCUCUGUUUCGAGUUCUAUAUGUAUUGACCAAUUUAUAAACUUGUAUAACUACUACCACAAAUAUAUAUCAACCUAAGACCACCCCUUCUUUGUGUACACAAUUCCCCCUUUCUUUCAUCUCCUCACUACAGCCACCGCUGCUCUAGUCUCCCUUCCCAUAGGAUAGGCCUUUCAAGAAUACACAUAAAAAUAGUAUAUAUGAAAUCUUUUUGAAUGGCUUCUUCCAUGCAGCAUGAUGUAGAGGUGUCUUAUUACAUUUCAAAGAGUUAAUCUUAUUGCUAAGAAGGACUCCAUUGAGUGAGCACUGUCAGACUAUGUUGAUUCUCUUGAUGAAGAACAUCUGAGUUUCUUGUAGUUUGCAGAGAUUAAAAAGUUCUACAAACCUUCAA